UACGUAGGGGGCAAGCGUUGUCCGGAUUUAUUGGGCGUAAAGAGCGUGUAGGCGGCCUGACAGGUCUGCUGUGAAAACUCGAGGCUCAACCUCGAGAUGUCGGCGGAAACCGUCUGGCUAGAGUCCGGAAGAGGAGAGUGGAAUUCCUGGUGUAGCGGUGAAAUGCGCAGAUAUCAGGAGGAACACCGGUGGCGAAGGCGGGUCUCUGGGCCGUAACUGACGCUGAGGAGCGAAAGCGUGGGGAGCGAACAGG
RNAcentral lists this ribosomal RNA (253 nucleotides) under uncultured bacterium. RNAcentral's name for it is "partial 16S ribosomal RNA". It matches the Rfam family "Bacterial small subunit ribosomal RNA", at positions 524 to 776 of the family's 1533-position model. The record is from RNAcentral.